GGCGGCGUGCCUAAUACAUGCAAGUCGAGCGGCAGCAUGAUCUAGCUUGCUAGAUUGAUGGCGAGUGGCGAACGGGUGAGUAAUACAUCGGAACGUGCCCUGUAGUGGGGGAUAACUAGUCGAAAGAUUAGCUAAUACCGCAUACGACCUGAGGGUGAAAGUGGGGGACCGCAAGGCCUCAUGCUAUAGGAGCGGCCGAUGUCUGAUUAGCUAGUUGGUGGGGUAAAGGCCCACCAAGGCGACGAUCAGUAGCUGGUCUGAGAGGACGAUCAGCCACACUGGGACUGAGACACGG
This 295-nucleotide ribosomal RNA is filed under the name uncultured Pseudomonas PS3. RNAcentral describes it as "partial 16S ribosomal RNA". It matches the Rfam family "Bacterial small subunit ribosomal RNA", at positions 38 to 329 of the family's 1533-position model. The record is from RNAcentral. Lineage: Bacteria; Pseudomonadati; Pseudomonadota; Gammaproteobacteria; Pseudomonadales; Pseudomonadaceae.